UACGAAGGGGGCUAGCGUUGCUCGGAAUUACUGGGCGUAAAGCGCACGUAGGCGGCUUCUUAAGUCGGUGGUGAAAUCCUGGAGCUCAACUCCAGAACUGCCUUCGAUACUGGGAGCUCGAGUCCGGGAGAGGUGAGUGGAACUGCGAGUGUAGAGGUGAAAUUCGUAGAAUAUUCGCAAGAACACCAGUGGCGAAGGCGGACUCACUGGCCCGGUACUGGACGCUGAGGUGCGAA
This 236-nucleotide ribosomal RNA is filed under the name uncultured bacterium. Its description in RNAcentral is "partial 16S ribosomal RNA". It matches the Rfam family "Bacterial small subunit ribosomal RNA", at positions 524 to 757 of the family's 1533-position model. The record is from RNAcentral.